UUAAGCGACUAAGCGUACACGGUGGAUGCCCUGGCAGUCAGAGGCGAUGAAGGACGUGCUAAUCUGCGAAAAGCGUCGGUAAGGUGAUAUGAACCGUUAUAACCGGCGAUGUCCGAAUGGGGAAACCCAGUGCAAUUCGUUGCACUAUCGUUAACUGAAUACAUAGGUUAACGAGGCGAACCGGGGGAACUGAAACAUCUAAGUACCCCGAGGAAAAGAAAUCAACCGAGAUUCCCCCAGUAGCGGCGAGCGAACGGGGAGCAGCCCGGAGUCUGAAUCAGCUUGUGUGUUAGUGGAAGCGUCUGGAAAGUCGCAGGGUACAGGGUGAUACUCCCGUACACUAAAACACACAGGCUGUGAACUCGAAGAGUAGGGCGGGACACGUGGUAUCCUGUCUGAAUAUGGGGGGACCAUCCUCCAAGGCUAAAUACUCCUGACUGACCGAUAGUGAACCAGUACCGUGAGGGAAAGGCGAAAAGAACCCCGGCGAGGGGAGUGAAAAAGAACCUGAAACCGUGUACGUACAAGCAGUAGGAGCCCCACCACCAAAGCGUUUCGCUUUGCGUGGUGCGCAAAAUGCGUAACGACAGCAUGAUGGACGGUUAACGGAGCGUCAGCGACGUUCAACCUCAAAAAUCAGGCAGUGGAGCGUUUUGGGGUGGGGUGACUGCGUACCUUUUGUAUAAUGGGUCAGCGACUUAUAUUCUGUAGCAAGGUUAACCGAAUAGGGGAGCCGCAGGGAAACCGAGUCUUAACUGGGCGUUAAGUUGCAGGGUAUAGACCCGAAACCCGGUGAUCUAGCCAUGGGCAGGUUGAAGGUUGGGUAACACUAACUGGAGGACCGAACCGACUAAUGUUGAAAAAUUAGCGGAUGACUUGUGGCUGGGGGUGAAAGGCCAAUCAAACCGGGAGAUAGCUGGUUCUCCCCGAAAGCUAUUUAGGUAGCGCCUCGUGAACUCAUCUUCGGGGGUAGAGCACUGUUUCGGCUAGGGGGUCAUCCCGACUUACCAACCCGAUGCAAACUACGAAUACCGAAGAAUGUUAUCACGGGAGACACACGGCGGGUGCUAACGUCCGUCGUGAAGAGGGAAACAACCCAGACCGCCAGCUAAGGUCCCAAAGUCAUGGUUAAGUGGGAAACGAUGUGGGAAGGCCCAGACAGCCAGGAUGUUGGCUUAGAAGCAGCCAUCAUUUAAAGAAAGCGUAAUAGCUCACUGGUCGAGUCGGCCUGCGCGGAAGAUGUAACGGGGCUAAACCAUGCACCGAAGCUGCGGCAGCGACACUAUGUGUUGUUGGGUAGGGGAGCGUUCUGUAAGCCGUUGAAGGUGGCCUGUGAGGGUUGCUGGAGGUAUCAGAAGUGCGAAUGCUGACAUAAGUAACGAUAAUGCGGGUGAAAAACCCGCACGCCGGAAGACCAAGGGUUCCUGUCCAACGUUAAUCGGGGCAGGGUGAGUCGACCCCUAAGGCGAGGCCGAAAGGCGUAGUCGAUGGGAAACAGGUUAAUAUUCCUGUACUUGGUGUUACUGCGAAGGGGGGACGGAGAAGGCUAUGUUGGCCGGGCGACGGUUGUCCCGGUUUAAGCAUGUAGGCGGAUGUUCCAGGUAAAUCCGGAACGUUACUAACGCUGAGGUGUGAUGACGAGGCACUACGGUGCUGAAGUGACAAAUGCCCUGCUUCCAGGAAAAGCCUCUAAGCAUCAGGUAACAUCAAAUCGUACCCCAAACCGACACAGGUGGUCAGGUAGAGAAUACCAAGGCGCUUGAGAGAACUCGGGUGAAGGAACUAGGCAAAAUGGUGCCGUAACUUCGGGAGAAGGCACGCUGAUGGUAGGUGAAGUGACUUGCUCAUGGAGCUGAAAUCAGUCGAAGAUACCAGCUGGCUGCAACUGUUUAUUAAAAACACAGCACUGUGCAAACACGAAAGUGGACGUAUACGGUGUGACGCCUGCCCGGUGCCGGAAGGUUAAUUGAUGGGGUUAUCCUCGCGGAGAAGCUCUUGAUCGAAGCCCCGGUAAACGGCGGCCGUAACUAUAACGGUCCUAAGGUAGCGAAAUUCCUUGUCGGGUAAGUUCCGACCUGCACGAAUGGCGUAAUGAUGGCCAGGCUGUCUCCACCCGAGACUCAGUGAAAUUGAACUCGCUGUGAAGAUGCAGUGUACCCGCGGCAAGACGGAAAGACCCCGUGAACCUUUACUAUAGCUUGACACUGAACACUGGUCCUUGAUGUGUAGGAUAGGUGGGAGGCUUUGAAGUGUGGACGCCAGUCUGCAUGGAGCCGUCCUUGAAAUACCACCCUUUAAUGGCUGGUGUUCUAACGUGGGCCCCUAAUCGGGGUUGCGGACAGUGUCUGGUGGGUAGUUUGACUGGGGCGGUCUCCUCCUAAAGAGUAACGGAGGAGCACGAAGGUCAGCUAAUCCUGGUCGGACAUCAGGAGGUUAGUGCAAUGGCAUAAGCUGGCUUGACUGCGAGCGUGACGGCGCGAGCAGGUGCGAAAGCAGGUCAUAGUGAUCCGGUGGUUCUGAAUGGAAGGGCCAUCGCUCAACGGAUAAAAGGUACUCCGGGAUAACAGGCUGAUACCGCCCAAGAGUUCAUAUCGACGGCGGUGUUUGGCACCUCGAUGUCGGCUCAUCACAUCCUGGGGCUGAAGUAGGUCCAAGGGUAUGGCUGUUCGCCAUUUAAAGUGGUACGCGAGCUGGGUUUAGAACGUCGUGAGACAGUUCGGUCCCUAUCUGCCGUGGGCGCUGGAGAAUUGAGGGGGGCUGCUCCUAGUACGAGAGGACCGGAGUGGACGCAUCACUGGUGUUCGGGUUGUCAUGCCAAUGGCAUUGCCCGGUAGCUAAAUGCGGAAGAGAUAAGUGCUGAAAGCAUCUAAGCACGAAACUUGCCCCGAGAUGAGUUCUCCCUGACCCUUUAAGGGUCCUGAAGGAACGUUGAAGACGACGACGUUGAUAGGCCGGGUGUGUAAGCGCAGCGAUGCGUUGAGCUAACCGGUACUAAUGAACCGUGAGGCUUAACCUU
This 3016-nucleotide ribosomal RNA is filed under the name Klebsiella oxytoca. RNAcentral's name for it is "bacterial LSU rRNA". It matches the Rfam family "Bacterial large subunit ribosomal RNA". The record is from RNAcentral. Lineage: Bacteria; Pseudomonadati; Pseudomonadota; Gammaproteobacteria; Enterobacterales; Enterobacteriaceae.